CCCUGGUAGUCCACGCCGUAAACGAUGAGAACUUGACGUUGGUUUGCUUAGCAAAUCGGUGUCGUAGCUAACGCGAUAAGUUCUCCGCCUGGGGAGUACGGCCGCAAGGUUGAAACUCAAAGGAAUUGACGGGGGCCCGCACAAGCGGUGGAGCAUGUGGUUUAAUUCGAUGCAACGCGAAGAACCUUACCAGGGUUUGACAUCCUGCGAAUCUCUUGGAAACUUGAGAGUGCCUUCGGGAGCGCAGUGACAGGUGGUGCAUGGCUGUCGUCAGCUCGUG
This 280-nucleotide ribosomal RNA is filed under the name Ochromonas sp. CCMP1393. RNAcentral's name for it is "partial Bacterial small subunit ribosomal RNA". It matches the Rfam family "Bacterial small subunit ribosomal RNA", at positions 785 to 1064 of the family's 1533-position model. Lineage: Eukaryota; Chrysophyceae; Chromulinales; Chromulinaceae. The record is from RNAcentral.